GACGAACGCUGGCGGCGUGCCUAAUACAUGCAAGUAGAACGCUGAAGGAGGAGCUUGCUUCUCCGGAUGAGUUGCGAACGGGUGAGUAACGCGUAGGUAACCUGCCUGGUAGCGGGGGAUAACUAUUGGAAACGAUAGCUAAUACCGCAUAACAGUAGAUGUUGCAUGACAUUUGCUUAAAAGGUGCAAUUGCAUCACUACCAGAUGGACCUGCGUUGUAUUAGCUAGUUGGUGAGGUAACGGCUCACCAAGGCGACGAUACAUAGCCGACCUGAGAGGGUGAUCGGCCACACUGGGACUGAGACACGGCCCAGACUCCUACGGGAGGCAGCAGUAGGGAAUCUUCGGCAAUGGACGGAAGUCUGACCGAGCAACGCCGCGUGAGUGAAGAAGGUUUUCGGAUCGUAAAGCUCUGUUGUAAGAGAAGAACGAGUGUGAGAGUGGAAAGUUCACACUGUGACGGUAUAUUACCAGAAAGGGACGGCUAACUACGUG
This 495-nucleotide ribosomal RNA is filed under the name uncultured bacterium. RNAcentral describes it as "partial 16S ribosomal RNA". It matches the Rfam family "Bacterial small subunit ribosomal RNA", at positions 28 to 507 of the family's 1533-position model. The record is from RNAcentral.